This 701-nucleotide long non-coding RNA is filed under the name Manihot esculenta (cassava). RNAcentral describes it as "long non-coding RNA (MESC_LNC010608)". Lineage: Eukaryota; Viridiplantae; Streptophyta; Magnoliopsida; Malpighiales; Euphorbiaceae. The record is from RNAcentral.
AAUAUUCUUACAUAAAUUGGACAUGCAUGGGGACCUAGAAACCCUGUUAACUUAUCUCCAUCUUUCCAACUUUGUGUCCUCACAUGCUUUAUCUCAUUCCAUCAAUACCUACAUCACAAAACCAAGAAGGGUCGGGUUCAGCUUUGAUGGUUACUUUUGUCUGCUGGGUUGGGUCGCUUCCAUGGUUGCAUUCAUAUACAUGAGAGACAUACAAAGACCAUGCAUGCAUAGGGUUUCAUUGAUAUAAUUUGUACGAUUAAUUGUCAAGCAAGCAUCCGUAUCACUCAUAUUUGGUUUGACUUAAUAUGGAUAGAUAAGAUUUUAAAGCAAAAAAAGAAAGAAAAAUUAAAGGGUUUGAUGAUAUGAUAUGAUCGUGUGGAAAGCAUUUUAGUGGAUUAUCCUAUAGGACUUUCACAUGGAUUGGUGUUUCAUUUGCCACGAAUUACUCUACUCUACCAAUGAAUCUAUCUUUGUUUUUCAUCACUUGUAAUGAUUCUCUCUCUCUCUCUCUACAUCUCUUUUUCCAUGCUAAGUUGUUAUCAUUAAUAGUAGAAACCAAGGAUUCAACAAAUGUCUUGGAGACUAAAGCAUGCAUGUCCAUAUGUAUAUAUACAUGUAAAGUUUUCAUCCAAAUCCAAGUGGUCAAUGCUAAAAGCAAAAUCUUCAAGAUUGGCUUACCCAGCCAGCCAGCUAGCAAGCCA